CUCCAGAUGUUGCUGAACUGCAACUCCCAUAAUUCUCAGCCUAUCUUUUUCAUUCAUGGGAGUUGUAGUUCAGCAACAUCUGGAG
This is a non-coding RNA of Pelobates cultripes (western spadefoot toad), 85 nucleotides long. The record is from the annotation of a GenBank genome assembly. NCBI's taxonomy places the organism in Eukaryota, Metazoa, Chordata, Amphibia, Anura, Pelobatidae.